Molecule: long non-coding RNA, 1126 nt
Filed under: Anas platyrhynchos platyrhynchos (common mallard)
Lineage: Eukaryota; Metazoa; Chordata; Aves; Anseriformes; Anatidae
Description: lncRNA (ENSAPLG00000030577.1)
Source: RNAcentral
UCCGGGUGCCCCCUGGCAGCACCGCCCGCACCCCCCAUCCCUUGUGAGCGCCCCAUGGGUGCCCCUGGGGCAGGGGGCGGUGGGGAGAGGCCCCAGGGGCUGAGCAGAGCCGGGUGCUGUGCUGGCAGCAGGCGCGGGGCCGGUGGCUGCCCGCCCUGGCUGUGCCAGACGCGGCGCAGGAGCGCCUGGAAUGCGUUGCCGGGAGCGCUGGCUCCAGCCCCACGCUGGCUCCAGCCCCACGCGCUGCCUGGGGUGGAGGAGCCCAGCUCCUGCACCCGCGUGGGCAUGGGGAUGGAGCUCUCAGCCCUCGGGCAGGGGGGUCCUGAGCCCCCUGAGUGUGGGGAGCGUGGGUCCUGCAGCCGUGGGGCACAGGGCUGGUGGUCCCAAGCCUCCCGGUCUCGUGAACCUCAGGGUCCUGUAGCCCCAGGCUUUGGGUCCCACGAGUGCUGUAGCUCUGGGGGUCCUGAGGUCCCUGGGCACAGGGAUUUGGUGGUCCUGAGCCUUGCAAACCUGGCAGUCCUGCUGUCCCUGGUUGUGGGUGCGCAGGGUCCCAAAUCCCCUGGCAUAGGGAACCGGGUGGUGCCGAGCUCCCUGGGGACAGGGCCUGGGGGAGGCUCGGGGGAGGCUCGGGGUCUCUGUGGCUCCUUGGCUUGUGAGCCUGGGGGUCCUGAGCCUCCUGGGCUUGCACACUUGGGGUCUUGUAGUCCCUGGAUAGGGGUCCCAUGGGUCCUGCAGCUGUGGGGUGUGGGGCUGGGAGGCCCCAAGCCUCCUCAUCUUGUGAACCUGGGGGCUCCAAGUGCUUUGUGCUUGCAGGGUCCCAUAGGUGCUGCAGCUCCAGGGUGCAGGGCCGGGGUCCUGAGGACCCUGGGUUUGCAGACCCGGGGGUCCUGAGCCCCCAAAGAGCGGGUCCCACGGGUCCCACAGCUCUGGGGCGGGGGGCUGGGGGUCCCGACCCACUGGGUUCGCAGACCCGAGGGUGCCGAGGCGCGGGGGUCCCGGGGCUCUGCUCCCCUCUCCCCCCCCGGCCCGCAGAGGGGUCUCCCGGGGGCUCUGCCCCGCGCCCGCAGCCCCCGGGCCGCGCCCCGAGCGCAUGGCGUGGGGAGGAAAGGGCGAGGAGGGGCCGGCG